GUGAGAAACAGUCUUUACAUAAGAACAAUGUAAAGAAGACUCACUAAAGUACAUUGUGGGCCAGGAGCUGGCUCCAGAAAGAGAUGUUCAAAGAUAAAGCUGAGUUUCUUCAGUACGUAUUGUGUUCUCUGGCAUUGGCAGCAUCUAAUCUUGACGUGGAAGACACUUGGGUGUUUUACAGCUGUUGCAGAGUAAGAAGUGUCAACUUCAUUGGACAUGAAGGAGAAAUCUCAAACAGAGCGGGAAGCAAUUAUGUAUUCAAGGUCAGGCAGAGCAAGAAACAUGCAUCAGAGCCCCCACCUGAGGCAGAGAACCAGCCAUUAGUCACAGCGAGUCACAGCACAAUUGUCCACGCUGCAAAACCUGACUUAAUUGGAAUCAACAAGGCCAGAACAAACUUCUGAAUGUAUGCCAGUCUCUUUUCAUGAAGGGACUGUGCAGUCAGUUAGAUUGGAACUUGAAUAAAUCGUUUUUU
Molecule: long non-coding RNA, 475 nt
Filed under: Homo sapiens (human)
Lineage: Eukaryota; Metazoa; Chordata; Mammalia; Primates; Hominidae
Description: HSALNT0330097
Source: RNAcentral